Molecule: long non-coding RNA, 505 nt
Organism: Hydra vulgaris (swiftwater hydra)
Lineage: Eukaryota; Metazoa; Cnidaria; Hydrozoa; Anthoathecata; Hydridae
Source: RefSeq, a predicted model, not a curated record
UUUAGAUUAUGUAUGCAAUAGUUGAAUUUAGCAACUAAGUCAGUGAAAUUAUACCAGUUAAAUGGUUCUGCACAGAAGAGGAAGAUUAAUGUUUUUGGCCUGAGUUUUUGCCACUUUCAAAAGUAUCAAAGCUGGUUAGCCAAAUAGCAAAUCCUAAUCCAGCAUGGAAAAAGUGUAAUGUUCGAACAUUAGGAAAGGCAUCUACUUAUGAAAGAGCACGAGAGAAGUUAAGGCUUUCAGAAAACACAUCUGAUUUGAAUAUUACAGAAAGUGAAAACAAAGAAAAGGCAACUGGUGUGCUAAAAAGGAAAAGAUUAUCAACAACACAAUACUUUCAAUUUGAUUCGGAUAGUGAAGAUUUCAGUGAUGUCCGUCAUAACAAUGUUUCAAGUUGCCUUACUGCCGAACGCAGUAUUAAAUCAUCACAAGUUAAAAAAAGUGCUUUAUCUGUUACAAAUUUACCUCCAACUUCACCUCAAGUGCUACAUAUUACCUCAAUGAUGAA